This 497-nucleotide ribosomal RNA is filed under the name uncultured bacterium. RNAcentral describes it as "partial 16S ribosomal RNA". It matches the Rfam family "Bacterial small subunit ribosomal RNA", at positions 28 to 507 of the family's 1533-position model. The record is from RNAcentral.
GAUGAACGCUGGCGGCGUGCCUAAUACAUGCAAGUCGAGCGAACGGACGAGAAGCUUGCUUCUCUGAUGUUAGCGGCGGACGGGUGAGUAACACGUGGAUAACCUACCUAUAAGACUGGGAUAACUUCGGGAAACCGGCGCUAAUACCGGAUAAUAUUUUGCACCGCAUGGUUCAAAAGUGAAAGACGGUCUUGCUGUCACUUAUAGCUGGAUCCGCGCUGCAUUAGCUAGUUGGUACGGUAACGGCUUACCAAGGCAACGAUGCAUAGCCGACCGGCGGGAGGGAUAGGCCGCACGGGAACGGGGCCACGGUCCAGAGGCCUAAGGGAGGCAGCAGAAGGGAACCGGCCGCAAUGGGCGAAAGCAUGACGGAGCGACGCGGCGUCAGUGAUGAAGGUGCUCGGAGCGGAAUACUCUGUUAUUAGGGAAGAACAGAUGUGGAAGUAACUGUGCACAGCGUGACGGUACUUAAUCAGAAAGCCACGGCUAACUACGUG